This 120-nucleotide ribosomal RNA is filed under the name Staphylococcus aureus. RNAcentral describes it as "partial 23S ribosomal RNA". It matches the Rfam family "Bacterial large subunit ribosomal RNA", at positions 1 to 120 of the family's 2925-position model. The record is from RNAcentral. Lineage: Bacteria; Bacillati; Bacillota; Bacilli; Caryophanales; Staphylococcaceae.
GAUUAAGUUAUUAAGGGCGCACGGUGGAUGCCUUGGCACUAGAAGCCGAUGAAGGACGUUACUAACGACGAUAUGCUUUGGGGAGCUGUAAGUAAGCUUUGAUCCAGAGAUUUCCGAAUG